GAAGAUGGCUUCGGCUAUCACUUUUGGAUGGUCCCGCGGCGUAUUAGCUAGAUGGUGGGGUAACGGCUCACCAUGGCAAUGAUACGUAGCCGACCUGAGAGGGUAAUCGGCCACAUUGGGACUGAGACACGGCCCAAACUCCUACGGGAGGCAGCAGUAGGGAAUCUUCCACAAUGGACGAAAGUCUGAUGGAGCAACGCCGCGUGAGUGAAGAAGGGUUUCGGCUCGUAAAACUCUGUUGUUAAAGAAGAACAUAUCUGAGAGUAACUGUUCAGGUAUUGACGGUAUUUAACCAGAAAGCCACGGCUAACUACGUGCCAGCAGCCGCGGUAAUACGUAGGUGGCAAGCGUUGUCCGGAUUUAUUGGGCGUAAAGCGAGCGCAGGCGGUUUUUUAAGUCUGAUGUGAAAGCCUUCGGCUCAACCGAAGAAGUGCAUCGGAAACUGGGAAACUUGAGUGCAGAAGAGGACAGUGGAACUCCUGGUUAAGGG
This 490-nucleotide ribosomal RNA is filed under the name Lactiplantibacillus plantarum. RNAcentral describes it as "bacterial SSU rRNA". It matches the Rfam family "Bacterial small subunit ribosomal RNA", at positions 202 to 680 of the family's 1533-position model. Lineage: Bacteria; Bacillati; Bacillota; Bacilli; Lactobacillales; Lactobacillaceae. The record is from RNAcentral.